Molecule: unclassified non-coding RNA, 235 nt
Filed under: plant metagenome
Description: partial contains small subunit ribosomal RNA, internal transcribed spacer 1, and 5.8S ribosomal RNA
Rfam family: 5.8S ribosomal RNA (bases 187-235)
Source: RNAcentral
UCUCCGUUGGUGAACCAGCGGAGGGAUCAUUACGAGGGCUCCGAAAAGGCCAAAAACAUCCGCGAACCUACCUUCUCUGCACCCGCCGGCGGGUGGCGCCAGGGGGCGCGUCGGCCGCCGCCAGCCGCCGGACCCCACCCCUAGAAACUCCUUGAUAGUCUUCUGAGUACUGAGGCAAACAAUCACAACUUUCAACGAUGGAUCUCUUGGUUCUGGCAUCGAUGAAGAACGCAGC